AGGACGAACGCUGGCGGCGUGCUUAACACAUGCAAGUCGAGCGGUAAGGCCUUUCGGGGUACACGAGCGGCGAACGGGUGAGUAACACGUGGGUGAUCUGCCCUGCACUUCGGGAUAAGCCUGGGAAACUGGGUCUAAUACCGGAUAUGACCUCCUAUCGCAUGGUGGGUGGUGGAAAGAUUUAUCGGUGCAGGAGUGGGCCCGC
This 205-nucleotide ribosomal RNA is filed under the name uncultured soil bacterium. RNAcentral's name for it is "partial 16S ribosomal RNA". It matches the Rfam family "Bacterial small subunit ribosomal RNA", at positions 26 to 234 of the family's 1533-position model. The record is from RNAcentral.